UGGAUUUUUGAAGACUCAUACUAUAUACGGCUUUUUGCAUGCGGGUCGGGUAGCGGGUACGACUUUUUGCAUGCGGGUAGGCACUAUUCGUGCCCGACCCGACCCGUUGCCAUCCCUAGUUCCAGCAGCGUUAUGAGGAUUAUGGCAAUCUUCCUACGCCAUCUCCUGUAGCGAAACAUGUGCCCCCUACAGAAGCGGUAAAGGAAGUUGCUUAUCUGCCGGUGCCCUAGGGGACGACAUGGAUGACACUCGUCCAUCUCAGUUAUAUAUUCUCUCUAGUACCGGGACCAUGCUAGUGGCUCGUGGUACAGUUUAUUAGACAACCACUGUAGUGCAUGGUGUAAAACUUGCAGAAGAUGAGGUCAAGGUCACGUGGAUGAAGUUGUCAUACGAGAUGCCGUUCUUCCAGUGCCUACAGAUGAGUUCUUCACUGUGGAAGAGACAUUUAAGUCCUUUGUCGCCUGGCUUAGACAUUUGGUUGGUGAUGUAUCUGAUCUCCCGCAAAUAGGUCAAGAGGGAAGUCCUACACCGAAGAAGACUCAUUUAUCUGAGGACGAACCUCUUGGUGCGUUAGACGAGCUUGCUAAAAUAAUUUCAGAUGCGCCGAUGAAUCUACACUGGGAUUCAACUACAUUUGGAAGAGAAGCUCAGAUCCCAUUGUACUUGCAUCAGCAAGAUGUUAGGGAGCUUGCGUUGGGGAGAGAAGAAAUUAAUAUUACACUCAUUCAGCUGUGGAUGAUGUAUAUGUUUGAUGUUAGUAAGAAGAAGGGGUUCAGCGAUGUAUGUGGGUUCAUUGACCCCUCUAUGACUCAUGAAAGAAAUAAAUUUGAUGAUAUCCAAACAUACAUCACCACCUGCUUUGGAAUGGGGAAGGAGAUAUAUUUUUUCCCUUAUAUACAUGGGUGUCAUUGGCAGAUACUUGUGAUCUUCAUACCAGAAAACACUGCUAUCUGGUUUUAUUCAUUGCACAAGUCUCCUCC
Molecule: long non-coding RNA, 980 nt
Organism: Vigna angularis (adzuki bean)
Lineage: Eukaryota; Viridiplantae; Streptophyta; Magnoliopsida; Fabales; Fabaceae
Exons: 5
Source: RefSeq, a predicted model, not a curated record